ACUCAAAGGAAUAGACGGGGGCCCGCACAAGCGGUGGAGCAUGUGGUUUAAUUCGAUGCAACGCGAAGAACCUUACCUACCCUUGACAUGUGACGAACCUGGGGGAAAGCCCUGGGGUGCCGAAAGGAACGUCAACACAGGUGCUGCAUGGCUGUCGUCAGCUCGUGUCGUGAGAUGUUGGGUUAAGUCCCGUAACGAGCGCAACCCUUGUCCUUCGUUGCCAUUCUGUAAAAAGAGGAACUCGAAGGAGACUGCCGGUGACAAACCGGAGGAAGGUGGGGAUGACGUCAAGUCAUCAUGGCCUUUAUGGGUAGGGCUACACACGUGCUACAAUGGGGUGAACAGCGGGAAGCGAACCUGUGAGGGGGAGCGGAUCCUAUAAAGCACCUCGUAGUCCGGAUCGGAGUCUGCAACUCGACUCCGUGAAGUUGGAAUCGCUAGUAAUCGCGGAUCAGCAUGUCGCGGUGAAUACGUUCUCGGGCCUUGUACACACCGCCCGU
RNAcentral lists this ribosomal RNA (500 nucleotides) under uncultured bacterium. RNAcentral describes it as "partial 16S ribosomal RNA". It matches the Rfam family "Bacterial small subunit ribosomal RNA", at positions 899 to 1397 of the family's 1533-position model. The record is from RNAcentral.